Molecule: non-coding RNA, 2101 nt
Organism: Pantherophis guttatus
Lineage: Eukaryota; Metazoa; Chordata; Lepidosauria; Squamata; Colubridae
Source: RefSeq, a predicted model, not a curated record
UUAUGUGACCCAAGUAAAUAACAUAAAGGUGAUGUGAUUAAUAUAUUUUAUUUUUCUGCAAAAUAUAGAUAAAUAAUCAAUAGCAAGUCAAUCUUCUAUAGAGAAUUUAUGAAGCAAUUUGAUCUCUCUUUCCAAUAUAUAAGAUAAACCAUUAGGAGGGAUAAAAGGUAAAGCAAUGUUCCAAAAAAAAUUAACAUGCAUUUGACAUUUAGUAUCAAUUUUGAUAGGAGGAAAAUACUACUGUUCAUCUCAGCAUGUGUGGUCUUGUGUUAACUAUUUUCUUUGUGAUAUAUUGUUAACGUUGGGUUUCAUACUGCUACACUAGGUUUAUCUGAAAAUCAAAACGGGGGAAAAACAGAUUAGACUAACUACUUCUGCAAGUAUGUUUUGGACUGAUAUUCUGACACUUCACAGUUUCAAACACCGCAUAACACUUACAACAUUGGACUAUGAACGGGUAAAUUCAAAUACUUAACAACUAGGUAACAUGAUCAGAUGUAUCUGGAAAGGUUGACAUCCAAUCUUAAGGUCGAAUUCUGGGCACUGCCAUAUUGAAGAAGACAUUGACAAAUGAUGAUGUGCAGAGAAGAGUGACUAAGAUGAUAAAUUACAAGCAAAUAGAUUUUUGUUGGACAACAGGAGAAAUGAUGAACUAACUGCAGGAAGUGUUUAAACAGAAGCUGGAUGACCAUCUGUUUGAAAAGCUAAGAUGGUGGAUUCUGAUGAACGGUGGUUAGACAAAAUAGUUUUCAAGUUUUAAUGAUUCAUGGGAUUUUGAAAAGAAAAAAAAAUGAAAGAAAACUUUAUUGACGUAAGGAAUUGCAUAAGAGCAGAUCAUUCCAACUAUUUGUGACUCUCCAGUAAUGCUUCAUUCCCAUGUGAGUCUCUACAUAUUUUUCAAUAUUGUGGCAACCAAAACUGGAUGCAAUAUUCCAAGUGUGGUCUUACCAAGCCAUUAUAAAAUGGGAUUAACACUUCACAUGAAUUUGAUUCAGUGGUGGGUUGCUACUGGUUCCCCUCGGUUCAGGUGAACUGAUAGCAGCAGUGGCGGAACGCUCCGCCCACCCACCCGGAUGUCAUCAAAUACGCUCUGUGCAUGUGCAGAAGCUUCUGCGCAUGCACAGAAGUGGUGCGUGCACGAGCGAAGUGAUCACACACGCACGAGUGAACCAGUAGCAAAGCUGGGACACGGCAGCAGUGCGGUUGCAGCACGGCUGCAGCAGAGGAACAGGAGAAGAGCUGCAGUUCUCCAUUUGGUCGACUCCGGAUGAACCCUGAGGGGCGAGAAAGGUCUCAAAACGCUCACCCCAGUCUCAUCCAGCCAAACGGGGGUCGUUGAUGGUCAAGACCCCCCUCGACACCCCAAAACGUCCAAACACGCCCCCAUCCGACCGCAGCACUCAGGGAGCAGCCGCCAUCUUGCGCAUACUCAAUCAUGCGGAAUCAAUACUUGAUUGUAUUCCUCUAUUAAUGUAACCUAGACCCGCAUUGGCUUUUUUGGCAGCUGUAGACUCUGCUGGCACAUAUUUAAGUGAUUGUCCACUAGGAAUUCAAGAUCCCUCUCGCUACUGUUGAGCCAGGUACCACCUAUUCUAUACUUGUGCAUUUGAUUUUUCUUGCCUAAAUGUAAAACUUUACUUUUUUCUUGCCUAAAUGCAAAACCUUACUUUUCAUUUACAGUAAUUAAAGGAUUCUUUAUAUUUGUGCCACUGUUCUUUCAAUGACUCAAAAAAUGUAUAGAAGGUAUGUCUUUAGUGAAAUGCAACAGACACAGGAAGGUGAUAGUAAUGUCUUAUCUUUCCUCUUACAGCUUAGGAUAGAGUCAUCUUGUUAAGAAUGACAAUUAGACUUGACACCUCUUGUAUAUCAAAGCUGCUAUAUUGCAUUUCAAAGAAUGUUACUGUAGUAUAUUCACUUUUUAAAUGAUAUUCUUGUCUUUCUUCUAGUUUUCCUGCAUCUUUUAUCUGUCAGAAAGUAAUUCAUUACAUAGAAUAUAUGCAAUGCAUAUUCACUUUGAUCAAUAUACAUGCAAAGUCUAUGUAACUUUAUGGUACUUGCUUUUGACCUGCCUGUGUGCAAGAGACCAUUGAUUUACUAUAGU